GGCUGGAGCAGCCUUAGGGGCCAGGUCAGGGUGGCCCUGGGGCCUCUGCCUCCAGCUGUGUCUAGUGCACAGGGAUCUGGGCAUGAGGUCCCUUCUCCCAGGAGGGGAGGCGCGGAACUAGGUGCCUCCACCCAGAAAGGUCAGAUCUGGGAGAGUUACAGAGUCAUUUCCCAAUCCCGGAUGAGCCCCUGCAGCCUCAGUGCUACUCAGGUUCCAGCAAGACCUGGAGCAGGUGCAGG
This 239-nucleotide long non-coding RNA is filed under the name Pongo abelii (Sumatran orangutan). Its description in RNAcentral is "lincRNA". Lineage: Eukaryota; Metazoa; Chordata; Mammalia; Primates; Hominidae. The record is from RNAcentral.